RNAcentral lists this ribosomal RNA (406 nucleotides) under uncultured bacterium. Its description in RNAcentral is "partial 16S ribosomal RNA". It matches the Rfam family "Bacterial small subunit ribosomal RNA", at positions 30 to 526 of the family's 1533-position model. The record is from RNAcentral.
AUUGAACGCUGGCGGCAGGCCUAACACAUGCAAGUCGAACGAGUGGCGGACGGGUGAGUAAUGUCUGGGAAACUGCCCGAUGGAGGGGGAUAACUACUGGAAACGAUAGCUAAUACCGCAUACUCUUGGAUGGACCUGCUUUGUAUUAGCUGGUGGGGGGGGUAAAGGCUGACCAAGGCGACGAUACAUAGCCGACCUGAGAGGGUGAUCAGCCACACUGGAACUGAGACACGGUCCAGACUCCUACGGGAGGCAGCAGUGGGGAAUAUUGCACAAUGGGCGCAAGCCUGAUGCAGCCAUGCCGCGUGUAUGAAGAAGGCCUUCGGGUUGUAAAGUACUUUCAGCGAGGAGGCGUUACUCGCAGAAGAAGCACCGGCUAACUCCGUGCCAGCAGCCGCGGUAAUAC